This 305-nucleotide ribosomal RNA is filed under the name uncultured bacterium. RNAcentral describes it as "bacterial SSU rRNA". It matches the Rfam family "Bacterial small subunit ribosomal RNA", at positions 335 to 655 of the family's 1533-position model. The record is from RNAcentral.
CAUCCUACGGGGCGCAGCAGUGGGGAAUAUUGGGCAAUGGGCGCAAGCCUGACCCAGCAACGCCGCGUGAAGGAAGAAGGCUUUCGGGUUGUAAACUUCUUUUGACAGGGAAGAGCAGAAGACGGUACCUGUCGAAUAGGCCACGGCUAACUACGUGCCAGCAGCCGCGGUAAUACGUAGGUGGCAAGCGUUAUCCGGAUUUACUGGGUGUAAAGGGCGUGUAGGCGGGACUGCAAGUCAGAUGUGAAACGCAUGGGCUCAACCCAUGGCCUGCAUUUGAAACUGUAGUUCUUGAGUGAUGGAGG